CCUACGGGAGGCAGCAGUAAGGAAUAUUGGACAAUGGGGGCAACCCUGAUCCAGCCAUGCCGCGUGAAGGAUGAAGGCGCUCUGCGUCGUAAACUUCUUUUAACCGAGAAAAAUUGUUGGGUUUCUACCCGACUUGAUUGUACCGGGAGAAUAAGGACCGGCUAACUUCGUGCCAGCAGCCGCGGUAAUACGAAGGGUCCAAGCGUUAUCCGGAUUUAUUGGGUUUAAAGGGUGCGUAGGCGGGUUGUUAAGUCAGUGGUGAAAUCUUGCAGCUUAACUGUAAAAUUGCCAUUGAUACUGACGAUCUUGAGUACAUUUGAAGUGGGCGGAAUAUGUCAUGUAGAGGUGAAAUUCUUAGAGAUGACAUAGAACACCGAUUGCGAAGGCAGCUCACUAAACUGUAACUGACGCUGAGGCACGAAAGCGUGGGGAUCAAACAGGAUUAGAUACCCUGGUANUC
RNAcentral lists this ribosomal RNA (460 nucleotides) under uncultured bacterium. Its description in RNAcentral is "bacterial SSU rRNA". It matches the Rfam family "Bacterial small subunit ribosomal RNA", at positions 338 to 795 of the family's 1533-position model. The record is from RNAcentral.